Molecule: ribosomal RNA, 467 nt
Filed under: uncultured bacterium
Lineage: Bacteria
Description: partial 16S ribosomal RNA
Rfam family: Bacterial small subunit ribosomal RNA
Source: RNAcentral
GACGAACGCUGGCGGCGUGCUUAACACAUGCAAGUCGAACGGAAAGACCCUGCUUUUGUGGGGUGCUCGAGUGGCGAACGGGUGAGUAACACGUGAGUAACCUGCCCUUGACUUUGGGAUAACUUCAGGAAACUGGGGCUAAUACCGGAUAGGAGCUCCUGCUGCAUGGUGGGGGUUGAAAGUUUCGGCGGUUGGGGAUGGACUCGCGGCUUAUCAGCUUGUUGGUGGGGUAGUGGCUUACCAAGGCUUUGACGGGUAGCCGGCCUGAGAGGGUGACCGGCCACAUUGGGACUGAGAUACGGCCCAGACUCCUACGGGAGGCAGCAGUGGGGAAUAUUGCACAAUGGGCGGAAGCCUGAUGCAGCAACGCCGCGUGCGGGAUGACGGCCUUCGGGUUGUAAACCGCUUUCGCCUGUGACGAAGCGUGAGUGACGGUAAUGGGUAAAGAAGCACCGGCUAACUACGUG